AGCAUAUCAAUAAGCGGAGGAAAAGAAACCAACAGGGAUUGCCCUAGUAACGGCGAGUGAAGCGGCAACAGCUCAAAUUUGAAAUCUGGCCCUUUUAGGGUCCGAGUUGUAAUUUGUAGAGGAUGUUUCGGGCACCGCCCCGGUUUAAAUUUCUUGGAACAGAAUGUCAAAGAGGGUGAGAAUCCCGUCUUGAACCGGGGUAGGGUCCAUGUGAAACUCCUUCGACGAGUCGAGUUGUUUGGGAAUGCAGCUCAAAAUGGGUGGUAAAUUUCAUCUAAAGCUAAAUAUUGGCCAGAGACCGAUAGCGCACAAGUAGAGUGAUCGAAAGAUGAAAAGCACUUUGAAAAGAGAGUUAAACAGUAUGUGAAAUUGUUGAAAGGGAAGCGCUUGCAACCAGACUUGAGCGCGGCGGUUCCCCCUUCCUUCUGGUUGGGUUAUUCCGUCGUGUCCAGGCCAACAUCAGUUUUGGUGGCCGGUUAAAGGCUUUGGGAAUGUAUCUAGGCCUUCGGGACUAGACUUAUAGCCCAGAGUGUCAUGCGGCCUACCGAGACUGAGGAACGCGCUUCGGCUCGGAUGUUGGCGUAAUGGUUGUAAGCGACCCGU
This 603-nucleotide ribosomal RNA is filed under the name uncultured fungus. Its description in RNAcentral is "eukaryotic LSU rRNA". It matches the Rfam family "Eukaryotic large subunit ribosomal RNA", at positions 37 to 652 of the family's 3401-position model. The record is from RNAcentral. Lineage: Eukaryota; Fungi.